CGAGCGCAACCCUUGUCCUUAGUUACCAGCACGUUAUGGUGGGCACUCUAAGGAGGACUGCCGGUGACAAACCGGAGGAAGUGGGGAUGACGUCAAGUCAUCAUGGCCCUUACGGCCUGGGCUACACACGUGCUACAAUGGUCGGUACAAAGGGUUGCCAAGCCGCGAGGUGGAGCUAAUCCCAUAAAACCGAUCGUAGUCCGGAUCGCAGUCUGCAACUCGACUGCGUGAAGUCGGAAUCGCUAGUAAUCGUGAAUCAGAAUGUCACGGUGAAUACGUUCCCGGGCCUU
Molecule: ribosomal RNA, 290 nt
Filed under: uncultured Pseudomonas sp.
Lineage: Bacteria; Pseudomonadati; Pseudomonadota; Gammaproteobacteria; Pseudomonadales; Pseudomonadaceae
Description: partial 16S ribosomal RNA
Rfam family: Bacterial small subunit ribosomal RNA
Source: RNAcentral